AGAGUUUGAUCAUGGCUCAGAUUGAACGCUGGCGGUAUGCCUAACACAUGCAAGUCGAACGAGGUAGCAAUACCUAGUGGCGGACGGGUGAGGAAUACGUAGGGAUCUGCCCUUAAGUGGGGGAUAACCCGGGGAAACCCGGAUUAAUACCGCAUGAUCUCGCAAGAGCAAAGAGGGGGACCGCAAGGCCUCUCGCUUUUGGAGGAACCUACGUCGGAUUAGCUAGUUGGUGAGGUAAUGGCUCACCAAGGCGACGAUCCGUAACUGGUCUGAGAGGAUGAUCAGUCACACCGGAACUGAGACACGGUCCGGACUCCUACGGGAGGCAGCAGUGGGGAAUAUUGGACAAUGGGCGAAAGCCUGAUCCAGCAAUACCGCGUGUGUGAAGAAGGCCUUCGGGUUGUAAAGCACUUUAAGUUGGGAAGAAAAAGCUUCACCUAAUACGUGAAGCCUUGACGGUACCGACAGAAUAAGCACCGGCUAACUCUGUGCCAGCAGCCGCGGUAAUACGAAGGGGGCUAGCGUUGUUCGGAAUUACUGGGCGUAAAGCGUGCGUAGGUGGUUUGAUAAGUCGAUUGUGAAAGCCCCGGGCUUAACCUGGGAAUUGCGGUCGAUACUGUCAGACUCGAAAACGGUAGAGGGAGGUGGAACUCCAGGUGUAGCGGUGAAAUGCGUAGAUAUCUGGAAGAACACCGAUGGCGAAGGCAGCCUCCUGGGCCUGUUUUGACACUGAGGCACGAAAGCGUGGGGAUCAAACAGGAUUAGAUACCCCGGUAGUCC
This 780-nucleotide ribosomal RNA is filed under the name uncultured bacterium. Its description in RNAcentral is "bacterial SSU rRNA". It matches the Rfam family "Bacterial small subunit ribosomal RNA", at positions 8 to 796 of the family's 1533-position model. The record is from RNAcentral.